This 514-nucleotide ribosomal RNA is filed under the name uncultured microorganism. RNAcentral describes it as "bacterial SSU rRNA". It matches the Rfam family "Bacterial small subunit ribosomal RNA", at positions 9 to 505 of the family's 1533-position model. The record is from RNAcentral.
GAGUUUGAUCGUGGCUCAGGAUGAACGCUGGCGGCGUGCCUAAUACAUGCAAGUCGAGCGAACGGACGAGAAGCUUGCUUCUCUGAUGUUAGCGGCGGACGGGUGAGUAACACGUGGAUAACCUACCUAUAAGACUGGGAUAACUUCGGGAAACCGGAGCUAAUACCGGAUAAUAUUUUGAACCGCAUGGUUCAAAAGUGAAAGACGGUCUUGCUGUCACUUAUAGAUGGAUCCGCGCUGCAUUAGCUAGUUGGUAAGGUAACGGCUUACCAAGGCAACGAUGCAUAGCCGACCUGAGAGGGUGAUCGGCCACACUGGAACUGAGACACGGUCCAGACUCCUACGGGAGGCAGCAGUAGGGAAUCUUCCGCAAUGGGCGAAAAGCCUGACGGAGCAACGCCGCGUGAGUGAUGAAGGUCUUCGGAUCGUAAAACUCUGUUAUCAGGGAGAACAUAUGUGUAAGUAACUGUGCACAUCUUGACGGUACCUAAUCAGAAAGCCACGGCUAACUACG